CAAUUUAUACAACGAAGAGUUUGAUCCUGGCUCAGGAUGAACGCUAGCGACAGGCUUAACACAUGCAAGUCGAGGGGCAGCAGGGAGUAGCAAUACUUCGCUGGCGACCGGCGCACGGGUGAGUAACGCGUAUGCAACCUACCUAUCAGAGGGGAAUAACCCGGCGAAAGUCGGACUAAUACCGCAUAAAACAGGGGUCCCGCAUGGGGAUAUUUGUUAAAGAUUUAUCGCUGAUAGAUGGGCAUGCGUUCCAUUAGAUAGUUGGUGAGGUAACGGCUCACCAAGUCUACGAUGGAUAGGGGUUCUGAGAGGAAGGUCCCCCACACUGGUACUGAGACACGGACCAGACUCCUACGGGAGGCAGCAGUGAGGAAUAUUGGUCAAUGGGCG
RNAcentral lists this ribosomal RNA (390 nucleotides) under Parabacteroides faecis. Its description in RNAcentral is "bacterial SSU rRNA". It matches the Rfam family "Bacterial small subunit ribosomal RNA", at positions 1 to 377 of the family's 1533-position model. The record is from RNAcentral. Lineage: Bacteria; Pseudomonadati; Bacteroidota; Bacteroidia; Bacteroidales; Tannerellaceae.